GUCUACGGCCAUACCACCCUGAACACGCCCAAUCUCAUCUGAUUUAGGAAGCUAAGCAGGGUUGUGCCUGGUUAGUACUUGGAUGGGAGAAUGGCAAGUAUUCAAGGCA
Molecule: ribosomal RNA, 109 nt
Organism: Erinaceus europaeus (western European hedgehog)
Lineage: Eukaryota; Metazoa; Chordata; Mammalia; Eulipotyphla; Erinaceidae
Source: Ensembl